RNAcentral lists this unclassified non-coding RNA (1652 nucleotides) under Hevea brasiliensis (rubber tree). Lineage: Eukaryota; Viridiplantae; Streptophyta; Magnoliopsida; Malpighiales; Euphorbiaceae. The record is from RNAcentral.
UAGUUGAUGGGGAGGAUCCACCAAAGAUUCUACAUUUGAAUCCUCGGUUAAGAGGAGAUUGGAGUAAGCGACCGAUUAUUGAGCAUAACACCUGCUAUAGGAUGCAAUGGGGGACAGCUCAGAGAUGUGAUGGUUUGCCAUCCAAAAAUGAUGAAGACAUGCUGGUUGAUGGAUUUAUGAGAUGUGAGAAAUGGAUGCGGAAUGACAUUGUCGAUUCAAAAGAGUCCAAGACAACUUCAUGGUUCAAGAGAUUCAUAGGGCGCGAACAGAAGCCAGAAGUGACCUGGCCGUUUCCUUUUGUGGAGGGAAGAUUGUUUAUCUUGACAUUGCGUGCAGGUGUUGAUGGCUAUCAUAUUAAUGUUGGGGGUCGGCAUGUCACCUCAUUUCCAUAUCGUCCGGGAUUUACCCUCGAAGAUGCAACAGGAUUAGCUAUCAAAGGAGAUUUAGAUGUCCAUUCAGUUUAUGCCACCUCUCUUCCUAGCUCUCAUCCAAGUUUCUCUCCUCAAAGGGUGUUGGAAAUGUCGGAGAAGUGGAAAGCUCUUCCUUUACCAAAGAGUCCUAUUCAACUUUUCAUUGGGAUUCUUUCUACUACAAAUCACUUCGCAGAACGUAUGGCAGUGAGAAAAACUUGGAUGCAAUCAUCACCAAUCAAGUCUUCAAAUGUAGUAGUUCGUUUCUUUGUUGCUUUGAGCCCCAGGAAGGAAGUGAAUGCAGUGUUGAAGAAAGAGGCUUCUUACUUUGGUGAUAUUGUGAUAUUGCCAUUUAUGGAUCGCUAUGAACUUGUGGUUCUUAAAACUGUUGCUAUUUGUGAGUUCGGUGUUCAGAAUGUUUCUACUGCAUAUAUCAUGAAAUGUGAUGACGACACAUUUGUUAGGGUGGACACUGUCUUGAAAGAAAUUAAUGCCAUCUCUACCAAAAAGUCUCUUUAUAUGGGCAAUCUCAACCUGUUACAUCGACCUCUGAGAACUGGAAAAUGGGCAGUCACUUUUGAGGAGUGGCCACAUGUAGUAUAUCCUCCUUAUGCCAAUGGGCCUGGAUAUGUAAUUUCCAGUGAUAUUGCUAAAUUUGUCGUUGCUCAACAUGGCAACCGAAGCCUCCGGCUUUUCAAGAUGGAAGAUGUCAGUAUGGGAAUGUGGGUUGAACAAUUCAACAGCUCGAAGCCUGUCCAGUACUCCCACAACUGGAAAUUUUGUCAGUACGGAUGCAUGGACAGGUAUUACACAGCACAUUAUCAAUCCCCUAGACAGAUGAUCUGUCUGUGGGACAAGUUGGCUAGAGGUGGGGCUCAUUGCUGCAACUUCAGAUGAUGACUGCCUCACCACAAAGUCCCCACCAGGCCUUAAGAAGAUAACAGCAACUCAUGCUGCAUUAGCUGAUGAGAACGUUAUGUUCUUGUUCUUGUUUCCCCACCUAUUGCUGAUUCUUGUCCAUUUUUUUAAAGUGGGUUGUAGAGAUGGCUGGGUAUUGAGUUACACUCAUCAUUUUGGAAGAACGCGGACGGUGUCAUGUUGUAAUCGGGAAUGAUUGUUAAUUAGAUCAAACCCAUUUUGGCUUCAACUAAAAGCUGCAGAAAAAAAGAAAGAAAAAGUUGUACAAGUGUAGUUGUAUAUCUUGUAUUUCAUACUUUUGAUAUCAAAUUUAGUUGGCAAGUG